GACGAACGCUGGCGGCGUGCCUAAUACAUGCAAGUUGAGCGCUGAAGGUUGGUACUUGUACCAACUGGAUGAGCAGCGAACGGGUGAGUAACGCGUGGGGAAUCUGCCUUUGAUCGGGGGACAACAAUUGGAAACGAAUGCUACUACCGCAUAAAAACUUUAAACACAAGUUUCAAGUUUGAAAGAUGCAAUUGCAUCAUUCAAAGAUGAUCCCGCGUUGUAUUAGCUAGUUGGUGAGGUAAAGGCUCACCCAGGCGAUGAUACAUAGCCGACCUGAGAGGGUGAUCGGCCACAUUGGGACUGAGAAACCGCCCAAACUCCUACGGGAGGCAGCAGUAGGGAAACUUCGGCAAUGGACGAAAGUCUGACCGAGCAACGCCGCGUGAGGGAAGAAGGUUUUCGGAUCGUAAAACUCUGUUGGUAGAGAAGAACGUUGGUGAGAGUGGAAAGCUCAUCAAGUGACGGUAACUACCCAGAAAGGGACGGCUAACUACGUG
This 497-nucleotide ribosomal RNA is filed under the name uncultured bacterium. RNAcentral's name for it is "partial 16S ribosomal RNA". It matches the Rfam family "Bacterial small subunit ribosomal RNA", at positions 28 to 507 of the family's 1533-position model. The record is from RNAcentral.